GUGCUCGGCUGGGAUUUGAACCCAGGACUCUUGUAUGCUAGACUAGCGCUUUACCA
Molecule: transfer RNA, 56 nt
Filed under: Aedes aegypti (yellow fever mosquito)
Lineage: Eukaryota; Metazoa; Arthropoda; Insecta; Diptera; Culicidae
Description: partial tRNA-OTHER
Source: RNAcentral